AACGAACGCUGGCGGCAGGCCUAACACAUGCAAGUCGAGCGCCCCUUUCGGGGGAGCGGCGGACGGGUGAGUAACGCGUGGGAACGUGCCCUUUGGUUCGGAAUAGCCCUGGGAAACUGGGGGUAAUACCGGAUACGCCCCGGACUUGAUCCGGGGGAAAGAUUUAUUGCCGAAGGAUCGGCCCACGUUGGAUUAGGUAGUUGGUGGGGUAAUGGCCUACCAAGCCUUCGAUCCAUAGCUGGUUUGAGAGGAUGAUCAGCCACACUGGGACUGAGACACGGCCCAGACUCCUACGGGAGGCAGCGGUGGGGAAUCUUAGACAAUGGGCGCAAGCCUGAUCUAGCCAUGCCGCGUGAGCGAAGAAGGCCUUAGGGUUGUAAAGCUCUUUCAGGGGGGAAGAUAAUGACGGUACCCCCAGAAGAAGCCCCGGCUAACUCCGUGCCAGCCGCCGCGGUAA
RNAcentral lists this ribosomal RNA (457 nucleotides) under uncultured bacterium. Its description in RNAcentral is "partial 16S ribosomal RNA". It matches the Rfam family "Bacterial small subunit ribosomal RNA", at positions 29 to 523 of the family's 1533-position model. The record is from RNAcentral.